Molecule: ribosomal RNA, 374 nt
Filed under: Nematoda sp.
Lineage: Eukaryota; Metazoa; Nematoda
Description: SSU rRNA
Rfam family: Eukaryotic small subunit ribosomal RNA
Source: RNAcentral
CUGAAUAACUUUGCUGAUCACACGGUCCUAGCACCGGUGACAUAUCUUUCAAGUGUCUGCCCUAUCAACUUUCGAUGGUAGUUUAUGUGCCUACCAUGGUGUUAACGGGUAACGGAGAAUAAGGGUUCGACUCCGGAGAGGGAGCCUGAGAAAUGGCUACCACAUCCAAGGAAGGCAGCAGGCGCGCAAAUUACCCACUCUCAGCACGAGGAGGUAGUGACGAAAAAUAACGAGACGGUUCUCUAUGAGGCCCGUCAUCGGAAUGGGUACAAUUUAAACCCUUUAACGAGGAUCUAUUGGAGGGCAAGUCUGGUGCCAGCAGCCGCGGUAAUUCCAGCUCCAAUAGCAUAUACCAAUUCUGUUGCUGUUAAAAA